Molecule: ribosomal RNA, 169 nt
Filed under: uncultured bacterium
Lineage: Bacteria
Description: partial 16S ribosomal RNA
Rfam family: Bacterial small subunit ribosomal RNA
Source: RNAcentral
CCUACGGGAGGCAGCAGUGUGGAAUAUUGGACAAUGGCCGAAAGGCUGACGCAGCGACGCCGCGUGAAGGAUGAAGUCCGUUAGGAUGUAAACUUCUUUUGCGGGGGAUGAAUUGUCCGUUCUUCGGACGGUGACCGUACCCCGCGAAUAAGGAUCGGCCAACUACGUG